CGUCAGAGUCCACUCGGGAGAGUCCCCUUGGCGCCGCCUCUUCCCCGGGUGCAGGGUGUAGCUGGAAAAUAGGUUCCGGACUGGGGACGCUCAUUCUGGAAGCUGAUUGGUUCGGGCACUUGUCCAUCUGGAACUGCAGCAGCUGUUUUUAAUGAAAGGAACUAAGAAAAUGUUCUGGACUCAAUACCAGGCUCAGUAUCUGCAGCUCUUAGACGUGGUCCCGACCCCUGCUGUUCACAAUACUCUCCAGUGUCUGACAUGGAAACAAAUUGUGGGGCUCUUUCCUUUAGUUCCCAGAGAGCAGGAUAAUGCCCAGCUGCCUGUUGGAUGGGUCAUCUAUUUUAAUAUUGGAGAAAGUAAAUGGAUUGUUAAGAAGAUGAACAUUUUCCCUCCUCAUUAAAAAUCUUGAAAUUUAAA
Molecule: long non-coding RNA, 417 nt
Filed under: Mus pahari (shrew mouse)
Lineage: Eukaryota; Metazoa; Chordata; Mammalia; Rodentia; Muridae
Description: lncRNA (MGP_PahariEiJ_G0002683.1)
Source: RNAcentral